Molecule: ribosomal RNA, 830 nt
Filed under: Bacillus infantis
Lineage: Bacteria; Bacillati; Bacillota; Bacilli; Caryophanales; Bacillaceae
Description: bacterial SSU rRNA
Rfam family: Bacterial small subunit ribosomal RNA
Source: RNAcentral
UUAUAUGGAGAGUUUGAUCCUGGCUCAGGACGAACGCUGGCGGCGUGCCUAAUACAUGCAAGUCGAGCGGACGGAUGGGAGCUUGCUCCCUGAAGUCAGCGGCGGACGGGUGAGUAACACGUGGGCAACCUGCCUGUAAGACUGGGAUAACUUCGGGAAACCGGAGCUAAUACCGGAUAAUGCAUUUCCCCUCAUGGGGAUAUGCUGAAAGAUGGUUUCGGCUAUCACUUACAGAUGGGCCCGCGGCGCAUUAGCUAGUUGGUGAGGUAACGGCUCACCAAGGCAACGAUGCGUAGCCGACCUGAGAGGGUGAUCGGCCACACUGGGACUGAGACACGGCCCAGACUCCUACGGGAGGCAGCAGUAGGGAAUCUUCCGCAAUGGACGAAAGUCUGACGGAGCAACGCCGCGUGAGUGAUGAAGGUUUUCGGAUCGUAAAACUCUGUUGUCAGGGAAGAACAAGUGCCGGAGUAACUGCCGGCACCUUGACGGUACCUGACCAGAAAGCCACGGCUAACUACGUGCCAGCAGCCGCGGUAAUACGUAGGUGGCAAGCGUUGUCCGGAAUUAUUGGGCGUAAAGCGCGCGCAGGCGGUCUCUUAAGUCUGAUGUGAAAGCCCACGGCUCAACCGUGGAGGGUCAUUGGAAACUGGGGGACUUGAGUGCAGAAGAGGAAAGUGGAAUUCCACGUGUAGCGGUGAAAUGCGUAGAGAUGUGGAGGAACACCAGUGGCGAAGGCGACUUUCUGGUCUGUAACUGACGCUGAGGCGCGAAAGCGUGGGGAGCAAACAGGAUUAGAUACCCUGGUAGUCCACGCCGUAAACGAUGAG